GGCAGACGGUUUCAUUAUCGAUGAUUCAUUGAACCCAGCUUACAAAGACGGGCCAAAUGCACCGAGACGAUGGAUCCUGCCAAAAAUAAAAAUAAAUCAGCAGUUCAGCGCCUCCGCCGUGUCAACUGCUUGUUUUCCAUUUUUCCGUAGCAAAAAGUCCACCAUUUUCCUUUUCUUUUACGGGCCCAUUUUCCUUAUCUGAACGGCACAGCGCGUGAAAUCUUUCCUAGGAGGAAUACUAGAAUACUCAUUAAUGGACUAAAUCGAAUCCGCCGCCCACCACCACCGUCCACCGCCACCGCCACCGCGAGGGAAAGGAAGAAGACGGCUUCCUCCGCCAGCCGUCGUCGUGGGGAGCUGGCGAGGGGGAUACGCGGCGCUAUGCCUGCGCGGACACCCGGACGGAAACGAGGCGCAGAUACAUUUCCCUGCCUUGCCCGGCCGCCGCGCCGGCCGGUCGCCAUCGACGCCGCUUCAAAUCCAUGGCUUUUUUUUUACGCUUUCCUCUCCAGCAAUCCCUGCCUAGUCCUUUCCCACGCCUGACGCCGCCCCCACCCAAACCCCCUUUAAAACCCGCCACCGUCGCCACCGACUCGCCAUCAUCCGACCACGGAGCUUAAGCUUUAGU
RNAcentral lists this long non-coding RNA (628 nucleotides) under Hordeum vulgare. Its description in RNAcentral is "long non-coding RNA (HVUL_LNC017828)". Lineage: Eukaryota; Viridiplantae; Streptophyta; Magnoliopsida; Poales; Poaceae. The record is from RNAcentral.